CGGCGCGGUCCCCGCCCGCUUUUGUUUACAUCGCCCGGGAGCGGCAGCCGCCGCCGCGCUCUUAUCUGCGCGCGCCCGGGUUCAGUUUCCCGGAGGGACCGAGGGACGGAGGCCCAGCCCCGCGCCCACAGCGGCCUGGGGCCCAGGGAGGGCGGGUCCUGGCGCGGGGUCACCGCCUAGGACGGUCGCCCGGGCCGUGAGGACUGGACGCCCGCAAAUCCGGGCGGGUGGGGGCCUCUGACGUCCCCCGAGGUGGGGCACGGGGCGGGCGGGUCCGCGCUGCGGGCUGGAGGGGCGGGCGCGGGAGUGGAGCGUCCUGAGCGCACCCCCCGCAGCCCUGUCCAGCCUGGACGGCGACCUGGCGGGCCGGUACUACGCGCUCAAGAGCAUGACGGAGGCGGAGCAGCAGCAGCUCAUCGACGACCAUUUCCUUUUCGACAAGCCCGUGUCGCCCCUGCUGCUGGCCUCGGGCAUGGCCCGCGACUGGCCCGACGCCCGCGGUAUCUGGCACAAUGACAAUAAGACCUUCCUGGUGUGGGUCAACGAGGAGGACCACCUGCGGGUCAUCUCCAUGCAGAAGGGGGGCAACAUGAAGGAGGUGUUCACCCGCUUCUGCACCGGCCUCACCCAGAUUGAAACUCUCUUCAAGUCUAAGGACUAUGAGUUCAUGUGGAACCCUCACCUGGGCUACAUCCUCACCUGCCCAUCCAACCUGGGCACAGGGCUGCGGGCAGGUGUGCAUAUCAAGCUGCCCCACCUGGGCAAGCAUGAGAAGUUCUCGGAGGUGCUUAAGCGGCUGCGACUUCAGAAGCGAGGCACCGGCGGUGUGGACACCGCUGCGGUGGGCGGGGUCUUCGACGUCUCCAACGCUGACCGCCUGGGCUUCUCAGAGGUGGAGCUGGUGCAGAUGGUGGUGGACGGAGUGAAGCUGCUCAUCGAGAUGGAGCAGCGGCUGGAGCAGGGCCAGGCCAUCGACGACCUCAUGCCUGCCCAGAAGUGAAGCCCGGCCCACACCCGACACCAGCCCUGCCGCUUCCUAACUUAUUGCCUGGGCAGUGCCCACCAUGCACCCCUGAUGUUCGCCAUCUGGCGAGCCCUUAGCCUUGCUGUAGAGACUUCCGUCACCCUUGGUAGAGUUUAUUUUUUUGAUGGCUAAGAUACUGCUGAUG
Molecule: small RNA, 1169 nt
Filed under: Pongo abelii (Sumatran orangutan)
Lineage: Eukaryota; Metazoa; Chordata; Mammalia; Primates; Hominidae
Description: retained intron
Source: RNAcentral